GAGCUGCUAGCUUAAUCGGUAAAGCACCCUCCUCCAUCAGUGUAUUCUGAGUAGUGCCUUGACGAAGGGGGUGAUUGAGGUUCGAGUCCUCAGCGGUUCA
RNAcentral lists this transfer RNA (100 nucleotides) under Acaryochloris marina MBIC11017. Its description in RNAcentral is "tRNA-Und (NNN) (tRNA-Und-NNN-2-1)". It matches the Rfam family "tRNA". Rfam says of the family: Transfer RNA (tRNA) molecules are approximately 80 nucleotides in length. Their secondary structure includes four short double-helical elements and three loops (D, anti-codon, and T loops). Further hydrogen bonds mediate the characteristic L-shaped molecular structure. tRNAs have two regions of fundamental functional importance: the anti-codon, which is responsible for specific mRNA codon recognition, and the 3' end, to which the tRNAs corresponding amino acid is attached (by aminoacyl-tRNA synthetases). tRNAs cope with the degeneracy of the genetic code in two manners: having more than one tRNA (with a specific anti-codon) for a particular amino acid; and 'wobble' base-pairing, i.e. permitting non-standard base-pairing at the 3rd anti-codon position. Lineage: Bacteria; Bacillati; Cyanobacteriota; Cyanophyceae; Acaryochloridales; Acaryochloridaceae. The record is from Rfam by way of RNAcentral.